CGUACACUCCUGCGGGAGGCAGCAGUGGGGAAUAUUGGACAAUGGGCGCAAGCCUGAUCCAGCCAUGCCGCGUGAGUGAUGAAGGCCCUAGGGUUGUAAAGCUCUUUCACCGGUGAAGAUAAUGACGGUAACCGGAGAAGAAGCCCCGGCUAACUUCGUGCCAGCAGCCGCGGUAAUACGAAGGGGGCUAGCGUUGUUCGGAUUUACUGGGCGUAAAGCGCACGUAGGCGGACUAUUAAGUCAGGGGUGAAAUCCCGGGGCUCAACCCCGGAACUGCCUUUGAUACUGGUAGUCUUGAGUUCGAGAGAGGUGAGUGGAAUUCCGAGUGUAGAGGUGAAAUUCGUAGAUAUUCGGAGGAACACCAGUGGCGAAGGCGGCUCACUGGCUCGAUACUGACGCUGAGGUGCGAAAGCGUGGGGAGCAAACAGGAUUAGAAACCCUAGUAUCCCAUG
This 452-nucleotide ribosomal RNA is filed under the name uncultured organism. RNAcentral describes it as "partial 16S ribosomal RNA". It matches the Rfam family "Bacterial small subunit ribosomal RNA", at positions 330 to 799 of the family's 1533-position model. The record is from RNAcentral.